AUUGAACGCUGGCGGCAUGCCUUGCACAUGCAAGUCGAACGGCAGCACGGGAGCAAUCCUGGUGGCGAGUGGCGAACGGGUGAGUAAAGUAUCGGAACGUGCCCAGUCGUGGGGGAUAACGUAGCGAAAGUUACGCUAAUACCGCAUACGAUCUAUGGAUGAAAGCGGGGGAUCGCAAGACCUCGCGCGAUUGGAGCGGCCGAUAUCAGAUUAGGUAGUUGGUGGGGUAAAGGCUCACCAAGCCGACGAUCUGUAGCUGGUCUGAGAGGACGACCAGCCACACUGGGACUGAGACACGGCCCAGACUCCUACGGGAGGCAGCAGUGGGGAAUUUUGGACAAUGGGCGAAAGCCUGAUCCAGCCAUGCCGCGUGCAGGAUGAAGGCCUUCGGGUUGUAAACUGCUUUUGUACGGAACGAGAAGGUUUGGCCUAAUAAGCUGAGCUCAUGACGGUACCGUAAGAAUAAGCACCGGCUAACUACGUGCCAGCAGCCGCCGUAA
RNAcentral lists this ribosomal RNA (500 nucleotides) under uncultured bacterium. RNAcentral's name for it is "partial 16S ribosomal RNA". It matches the Rfam family "Bacterial small subunit ribosomal RNA", at positions 30 to 523 of the family's 1533-position model. The record is from RNAcentral.